AGAGUUUGAUCCUGGCUCAGAACGAACGCUGGCGGCGCGUUUUAAGCAUGCAAGUCGAACGGUAUUGGGGUGCUUGCACCCUGAGAGAGUGGCGAACGGGUGAGUAACACGUAGGUAAUCUGCCUCUGGGUACGGGGAUAGCCCAUGGAAACAUGGGGUAAUACCCGAUAAUUUAUACUUCGUGAUGGAGUAUAGGAAAGGCGCUAAGGUGCCGACCUGAGAUGAGCCUGCGGCUUAUUAGUUAGUUGGCAGGGUAAAGGCCUACCAAGGCGAUGAUAAGUAGCCGGCCUGAGAGGGUGACCGGCCACACUGGGACUGAGACACGGCCCAGACUCCUACGGGAGGCAGCAGCUAAGAAUCUUCCGCAAUGGGCGAAAGCCUGACGGAGCGACGCCGCGUGAAUGAAGAAGGCCGUGAGGUUGUAAAGUUCUUUUCUUGUGGAGGAAUAAUGUAAGGAGCGACUGCCUUACAGAUGACGUGAAACAAGGAAUAAGCCCCGGCUAAUUACGUGCCAGCAGCCGCGGUAACACGUAAGGGGCGAGCGUUGUUCGGAAUUAUUGGGCGUAAAGGGCGCGUAGGCGGUUUACCAAGUCUGGUGUGAAAGACCACAGCUCAACUGUGGAGACGCAUUGGAAACUGGCAGGCUAGAGUAUAGGAGGGGAAGCUGGAAUUCCUGGUGUAGGGGUGAAAUCUGUAGAUAUCAGGAAGAACACCGGUGGCGAAGGCGAGCUUCUGGCCAUAUACUGACGCUGAGGCGCGAAAGCGUGGGGAGCGAACAGGAUUAGAUACCCUAGUAGUCC
This 800-nucleotide ribosomal RNA is filed under the name uncultured bacterium. RNAcentral describes it as "bacterial SSU rRNA". It matches the Rfam family "Bacterial small subunit ribosomal RNA", at positions 8 to 796 of the family's 1533-position model. The record is from RNAcentral.